Molecule: ribosomal RNA, 459 nt
Filed under: uncultured bacterium
Lineage: Bacteria
Description: partial 16S ribosomal RNA
Rfam family: Bacterial small subunit ribosomal RNA
Source: RNAcentral
CCUACGGGAGGCAGCAGUGAGGAAUAUUGGUCAAUGGGCGGGAGCCUGAACCAGCCAAGCCGCGUGAGGGAAGAAGGUACAGCGUAUCGUAAACCUCUUUUGUCAGGGAACAAAGGCGGGGACUAGUCCCCGGAUGAGGGUACCUGAAGAAAAAGCAUCGGCUAACUCCGUGCCAGCAGCCGCGGUAAUACGGAGGAUGCGAGCGUUAUCCGGAUUUAUUGGGGUUAAAGGGUGGGCAGGCGGUCUGUUAAGUCAGCGGUCAAAGCCCGGGGCUCAACCCCGGCCCGCCGUUGAAACUGGCAGUCUCGAGUUGGAGAGAAGUAUGCGGAAUGCGCGGUGUAGCGGUGAAAUGCAUAGAUAUCGCGCAGAACUCCGAUUGCGAAGGCAGCAUGCCGGCUCCACACUGACGCUGAGGCACGAAAGCGUGGGUAUCGAACAGGAUUAGAUACCCGUGUAGUC